GGUAGCUCAGCGGGAGAGUAUAUGCCUUGCAAGCAUGAGGCCCUGGGUUCGAUUCCUCAGAACCA
RNAcentral lists this transfer RNA (65 nucleotides) under Dipodomys ordii (Ord's kangaroo rat). It matches the Rfam family "tRNA". Rfam says of the family: Transfer RNA (tRNA) molecules are approximately 80 nucleotides in length. Lineage: Eukaryota; Metazoa; Chordata; Mammalia; Rodentia; Heteromyidae. The record is from Rfam by way of RNAcentral.